RNAcentral lists this non-coding RNA (966 nucleotides) under Christinus marmoratus. Its description in RNAcentral is "12S ribosomal RNA". It matches the Rfam family "Bacterial small subunit ribosomal RNA". Lineage: Eukaryota; Metazoa; Chordata; Lepidosauria; Squamata; Gekkonidae. The record is from RNAcentral.
CAACGUUUUGGUCCUAGACUUACUAUUAUCAAUGACUGCCCCUACACAUGCAAGUUUCAGCACCCCAGUGCCUACGCCCACCAUCUUAAACAAAAUCAAAGACCAGGAGCAGGUAUCAGGCACACUAUGUAUGUAGCCCAAGACACCCCGCCAAUGCCACACCCCCACGGAACCCAGCAGUGAUUAACAUUAGGCCAUGAGCCAAAGCUCGACCUAGUCUCAGUCAAACCAUCUAGGGCCGGUAAACUCCGUGCCAGCCACCGCGGUUACACGCAGGGCCCAAGAUAAUAAACACUCGGCGUAAAAUGUGACUAGAGAAUAAUUCAACUAUAAAGAAAUCACAACCACAAUAUAGUUGUAAAAUACCUAUAUAUGUAGGAUUAACCAUAAAAUUUCCUUUGUAGAAUACCUUGACCCCACGAAAACUAAGACACAAACUAGGAUUAGAUACCCUACUAUGCUUAAUCAUCAACCCAGGUAGUACCAUAACCAACUACCCGCCAGAGAAUUACAAGUGAAAAACUUAAAACUCAAAGGACUUGACGGUGUUCCACACCAACCUAGAGGAGCCUGUCCUAUAAUCGAUACUCCACGAUACACCUCACCCUGUCUAGCAACCAGCCUAUAUACCGCCGUCGCCAGCUUACCUAAUGAUAGAAAACCACAGUAAGCAUAACAGACCCUCCCCAAAAACGUCAGGUCAAGGUGUAGCUAAUGACAGAGAAGAGAUGGGCUACAUUUUCUUUAAAUAGAAUACACCGUAAGCAACAUGAAACACAGGCCCAAAGGUGGAUUUAGCAGUAAACUUGGGCAAGACAUGCCUAAUUGAAACCCGCCCUGGAACGCGUACACACCGCCCGUCACCCUCCUCAACAUACAAAUAUAAAACUAAAUAAACCAAUUAAUUACAACAGAUGAGGCAAGUCGUAACAUGGUAAGCGUACUGGAAAGUGUGCUUGGCUAACA